AUGCUCCUCAGAAUGGGUCCCCGUUUGUUUCUGCACGACGUUAACUCUCCACAUCUGUGUCUUUCCUUGCUGUUAUUUGGAAAAUUUCUUCAGGGACUUUUACGUUUUCAGACAGGAGGAAGCAGAGGGGAGAAGAAUUCUUCACCAGGGGAGUUGAUGAGAAUGCUGGCAUUUCAGGCGUUGUGGUGGCUGGAAGCUUCUCUGGCAGAGGCACUGGAGUGUGAGGCCCGUCCAGCAGAGGAAUUCUGCUUGUCCUCACCUGACCUGCAGCAGGGAGGAUUUUUUGGGCUGCCUGUAAAAGAAGGUUUCUUUCCCUCUGCUGUAAAAGUCUGAAUGAGGGAAGCACUGGAGGGCAGGAUGGAUGGUCCCCAAACCAGGUUCUCCAGGCCACCUGCUCAGCCAUCCCGAGGGCGUGGCUCCUCCAGGUCCCAGGUGAGUCAAUGCCCCCCAAGCAGGGUGGAGGACCCGAGAAGGAGAGGCAUGACCCUUUCUUUAACAGAUCUUGUCUCAGGUGUUUGCACGUAUCCUUUCUGCACACUCCAUUGGCUACAGGAAGGCAGAGAAAUGUGGCCACAAACCCAGCUGAAUAUCGACAGAUCUAUUAUUGUGGAAUAAAGAGCGAAUGAUUAUUGAAGGCA
RNAcentral lists this long non-coding RNA (638 nucleotides) under Vulpes vulpes (red fox). RNAcentral's name for it is "lncRNA (ENSVVUG00000004584.1)". The record is from RNAcentral. Lineage: Eukaryota; Metazoa; Chordata; Mammalia; Carnivora; Canidae.